RNAcentral lists this ribosomal RNA (452 nucleotides) under uncultured marine eukaryote. Its description in RNAcentral is "bacterial SSU rRNA". It matches the Rfam family "Eukaryotic small subunit ribosomal RNA", at positions 631 to 1096 of the family's 1831-position model. The record is from RNAcentral.
UAGUUGGAUCUCUGGGAGGGUGCCGCCGUCCGGCGUGUCCGUGUGCAGUGGCGCCCUUCCAUCCUUCUGUUAGCGUCUCUUGGCAUUCAUUUGCUGGUGGCGGGCUCAGAUAUUUUACCUUGAGAAAAUUAGAGUGUUUCAGGCAGGCUAGGCCGGAAUACAUUAGCAUGGAAUAAUGGAAUAGGACUACGGUCUCUUUGUUGGUUUGAGGGACUGCAGUAAUGAUUAAUAGGGAUAGUUGGGGGCAUUAGUAUUUAAUUGUCAGAGGUGGAAUUCUUAGAUUUGUUAAAGACUAACUUAUGCGAAAGCAUUUGCCAAGGAUGUUUUCAUUAAUCAAGAACGAAAGUUAGAGGAUCGAAGACGAUCAGAUACCGUCCUAGUUCCAACCAUAAACGAUGUCGACUAGGGAUCAGCGGGCGUUAUCGUACGACCCCGUUGGCACCUUACGGGAA